CUGGAGACUCCGACAUGGAUAGAAGGCUUUGAGGCUAGAUUCGACAGGAUAUGCCUGAAGUUUUGGCUCGGAUGGGAUUCAGAUCUCCUGAGCGCAUCAUGCAAGCAACUUACCUGAUUCCAGAGCCAGUUCCAGCUCACUGUUCCUCUUCUUGGACGGGGGACUUCAAAGAACAGGCUCCACCACGCCGUCAAUACACCCGGGGGGUUCUCCAUAUCCUGAAGUCCCCACAGGCCUGUGGGCCUUCUGACAGGAAAAAGAUCAAUGAACUCAGGGCAUUGGCUCCAAUAACGGCCUGGACUA
Non-coding RNA from Pelobates cultripes (western spadefoot toad), 303 nucleotides. Lineage: Eukaryota; Metazoa; Chordata; Amphibia; Anura; Pelobatidae. The record is from the annotation of a GenBank genome assembly.